CACUCCUGCGGGAGGCAGCAGUGGGGAAUAUUGGACAAUGGGCGCAAGCCUGAUCCAGCCAUGCCGCGUGAGUGAUGAAGGCCCUAGGGUUGUAAAGCUCUUUCACCGGUGAAGAUAAUGACGGUAACCGGAGAAGAAGCCCCGGCUAACUUCGUGCCAGCAGCCGCGGUAAUACGAAGGGGGCUAGCGUUGUUCGGAUUUACUGGGCGUAAAGCGCACGUAGGCGGACUAUUAAGUCAGGGGUGAAAUCCCGGGGCUCAACCCCGGAACUGCCUUUGAUACUGGUAGUCUUGAGUUCGAGAGAGGUGAGUGGAAUUCCGAGUGUAGAGGUGAAAUUCGUAGAUAUUCGGAGGAACACCAGUGGCGAAGGCGGCUCACUGGCUCGAUACUGACGCUAAGGUGCGAAAGCGUGGGGAGCAAACAGGAUUAGAUACCCUAGUAGUCCCAUG
This 449-nucleotide ribosomal RNA is filed under the name uncultured organism. RNAcentral's name for it is "partial 16S ribosomal RNA". It matches the Rfam family "Bacterial small subunit ribosomal RNA", at positions 334 to 799 of the family's 1533-position model. The record is from RNAcentral.